Molecule: long non-coding RNA, 1449 nt
Filed under: Fragaria vesca (wild strawberry)
Lineage: Eukaryota; Viridiplantae; Streptophyta; Magnoliopsida; Rosales; Rosaceae
Description: long non-coding RNA (FVES_LNC001622)
Source: RNAcentral
AUCGAUCACCACAAACACCACCAACCCACACCAAAAUCUACUACGUACUUCAUAUAUAUAUUCAUUGCCAUUUGCCAAAGGAUUCAUAUUCUUUCAUUUAUGUCACCACAGGCACGUGACAGCUAUUCCUUGUGAGAUUUGUGAUUUUCCAUUUUGUAUUAGCUAACUGUUUUCAAUUAUGGUUUUGAACACAAAAUGGUUUAUUUCUCGUCCUCUCCAGGUAUUUGGGUGGUAUCUGGGGAAGUCAACAACAGGAGUAAGAGUUUCUGGAUGGAUGAUUGACCUAGCUAACAGAAAACAAAGUCCCAUGUUGAUGAUGAUGCUCAUGAGUCUUUGCUGAGAUUCAGAGAGCCAAAAUCCUUGGGAAAUUGCAUGUGGAAUGCGCAAGACAUGCCCCUAACAGAGGUGAAGAGCCUUACCUGCUUCAAUAUUCAUAUUGUUUAUUUCCUCUGUUGCCCUGUUGGCCUCAUUGUCUGCACCUUAAGGCACGCAAUGUUCUCCAAUGGUGUCUAGCUAUUUGAAUUGAAUAACAUUUGAUGACGAACAAGUUGAAGACAAUGUUUUGUGUCCAAGAGGGUUUGAUUUCCUGGCCAGUUUCAGAGAGUAGUUGAGGGUUUUCAUGGAGAACAAUCCCUUGAAACAAGGGAGCCUGUGAGUAGACAAAAGUAAUGGCGAAGCAAGCUCGUAAGAUUGAUCUGUAAUUUUGUGACCAAUACACAGCAGAUGGAGUUUGAUUACAAAUUUAUUUCUGAUCGAAUUCAAAGGCACAGAAUUGAAGUGUGUUAUGAGCGGAAGGUUCAUCAUCCAUGAAUACUUGAAGAGUGCAUGCAGGCCCAUAAAUGGAAAGGCUACGAACAAUAUUGCCACAGACCAUAAGGCCUAUGGAGAAAAUGUUGGUGUAGAAUUGGCAAAGACGUUCAAAGGUGGUAAGUUGUAAUCUUAAGGCCUCUUUCCCUAAAACUAUGUGGGAAACCCUAGCGGCCUUCGUAUCUAUAAACCCUUUUAGGUUUUGGCGGUAUGUCAUCCAAUUACGCUCUCUCGGGUGCAUCAUGGUUCCGGUCGACACAAAGGGGGCGUGUGAUUAUCUUCAACUACAACCAUUGCCACAAGAAAAGGUCAAAAUGUGUUUCAAAUUGAAGUUCCAAUGUCGAAUUUGGAAGUUCAAGUAGAACCUUUAGGGCAAAUCCUAUUUUUUGUUUUACAAAUCCUAAAACAGUCGUAGAAUGCGUACGGUGAUAGUAUUCCUAAUGGUUCGGUGAUAAACUACCACAACCAUAGUUCAUGAUAGCUUCAUGUAACAUGUCAAAACUUAAGCACAUGUAGGUGUUUUAUUUACCAUGGAAAAUGAGGUCAAAAUAAAUUAUAAUUAGUUCCAAGCCCAGCUGAACUCAAGUGGGCCUAAUAUGGACAACACCCAGCUGAAAAACAUGAACUCAAGUUGGGCCUAAU